UGGGGAAUCUUGCACAAUGGGCGAAAGCCUGAUGCAGCGACGCCGCGUGGGGGAUGAAGCUUUUCGGAGUGUAAACCCCUUUCGACCCGGACGAAUGCCCCGCAAGGGGACUGACGGUACGGGUAUAAGAAGCCCCGGCUAACUACGUGCCAGCAGCCGCGGUAAGACGUGGGGGGCCAGCGUUGCUCGGAAUUACUGGGUGUAAAGGGUUCGUAGGCGGUGUAGCAAGUCGGGAGUGAAAUCUCUGGGCUCAACCCAGAGACUGCUUCCGAAACUGCUGUGCUUGAGUGUGGGAGAGGCGCGUGGAAUUGCAGGUGUAGCGGUGAAAUGCGUAGAUAUCUGCAGGAACACCCGUGGCGAAAGCGGCGCGCUGGACCACUACUGACGCUGAGGAACGAAAGCUAGGGGAGCAAACAGGAUUAGAUACCCUGGUAGUCCUAGCCCUAAACGAUCAGGACUUGGGGUGCCGCACGUUCGUGCGUCGUCCCGGAGCUAACGCGUUAAGUCCUGCACCUGGGGAGUACGGUCGCAAGACUG
This 537-nucleotide ribosomal RNA is filed under the name uncultured bacterium. RNAcentral describes it as "bacterial SSU rRNA". It matches the Rfam family "Bacterial small subunit ribosomal RNA", at positions 355 to 896 of the family's 1533-position model. The record is from RNAcentral.